CCUACGGGAGGCAGCAGUGGGGAAUAUUGGGCAAUGGGCGCAAGCCUGACCCAGCAACGCCGCGUGAAGGAAGAAGGCUUUCGGGUUGUAAACUUCUGUUGUCAGGGAAGAGGAGAAGACGGUACCUGACGAAUAAGCCACGGCUAACUCCGGGCCAGCAGCCGCGGUAAUACGUAGGUGGCAAGCGUUGUCCGGAUUUACUGGGUGUAAAGGGCGUGUAGCCGGGUUGACAAGUCAGAUGGGAAAUCCUGCGGCUUAACCGCAGAACUGCAUUUGAAACUGUUGAUCUUGCGUACUGGAGAGGCAGACGUACUUCCUCGUGUCGCGGUGAACUGCGUCGCUCUUAGUAGGAACACCAGUGGC
Molecule: ribosomal RNA, 363 nt
Filed under: uncultured bacterium
Lineage: Bacteria
Description: partial 16S ribosomal RNA
Rfam family: Bacterial small subunit ribosomal RNA
Source: RNAcentral